This is a long non-coding RNA of Thalassophryne amazonica, 144 nucleotides long. RefSeq lists it as uncharacterized. The transcript is spliced from 3 exons. The record is from RefSeq and is a predicted model, not a curated record. Lineage: Eukaryota; Metazoa; Chordata; Actinopteri; Batrachoidiformes; Batrachoididae.
CCAAGCAGGUUUUGGGUAUCACUUAAGGAGAAAAAACAAAAUUUUGAAUCCAGCCUCAGUGUAUCAUGGCCUUCACAAAAAUGUAUGGUAACCAUCCAUGGUGGUAGCUGUAGCCAGGUAGGGGUCAAUGAUUGUCAUUGAUGU